GGCAGUGUAGAAGCCGUCUGUGCCGGAGCAAACGCGAUAAGUUCACCGCCUGGGGAGUACGGUCGCAAGGCUAAAACCCAAAGGAAUUGACGGGGGCCCGCACAAGCAGCGGAGCGUGUGGUUUAAUUCGAUGCAACGCGAAGAACCUUACCUGGGCUUGACAUGUACGUAGUAGUGAAGGGAAACCGGAACGAGCCUUCGGGCAGCGUAGACAGGUGCUGCAUGGCUGUCGUCAGCUCGUGUCGUGAGAUGUUGGGUUAAGUCCCGCAACGAGCGCAACCCGUGUUGCUAGUUACAAGUGUCUAGCGAGACUGCCGGUAACAAGCCGGAGGAAGGUGCGGAUGAUGUCAAGUCAGCAUGGCCUAUAUGUCCAGGGCUACACACACGCUACAAUGGCUGGUACAAAGAGAAGCGAAAGGGAGACCUGAAGCGAAUCUCAUCAAAGCCAGUCAUAGUUCGGAUUGCAGGCUGCAACUCGCCUGCAUGAAGUCGGAGUUGCUAGUAACCGCAGGUCAGCAAUACUGCGGUGAAUACGUUCCCGGGCCUUGUACACAC
Molecule: ribosomal RNA, 555 nt
Filed under: uncultured bacterium
Lineage: Bacteria
Description: bacterial SSU rRNA
Rfam family: Bacterial small subunit ribosomal RNA
Source: RNAcentral